RNAcentral lists this ribosomal RNA (301 nucleotides) under uncultured bacterium. RNAcentral describes it as "partial 16S ribosomal RNA". It matches the Rfam family "Bacterial small subunit ribosomal RNA", at positions 509 to 807 of the family's 1533-position model. The record is from RNAcentral.
CAGUAGCCGCGGGAAUACGAGGGGGGCAAGCGUUGUUCGGAAUUAUUGGGCGUAAAGGGUGCGUAGGCGGCUUGACAAGUCUUGUGUGAAAUCUAUGGGCUCAACCCAUAGUCUGCACGGGAAACUGUCGGGCUUGAGAAUGGGAGAGGUGAGUGGAAUUUCCGGUGUAGCGGUGAAAUGCGUAGAUAUCGGAAGGAACACCUGUGGCGAAAGCGGCUCACUGGACCAUUUCUGACGCUGAUGCACGAAAGCUAGGGGAGCAAACAGGAUUAGAUACCCGGGUAGUCCCUGUCUCUUAUAC